RNAcentral lists this ribosomal RNA (158 nucleotides) under Ralstonia pickettii. RNAcentral's name for it is "partial 16S rRNA". It matches the Rfam family "Bacterial small subunit ribosomal RNA", at positions 1211 to 1368 of the family's 1533-position model. Lineage: Bacteria; Pseudomonadati; Pseudomonadota; Betaproteobacteria; Burkholderiales; Burkholderiaceae. The record is from RNAcentral.
GGGCUUCACACGUCAUACAAUGGUGCAUACAGAGGGUUGCCAAGCCGCGAGGUGGAGCCAAUCCCAGAAAAUGCAUCGUAGUCCGGAUCGUAGUCUGCAACUCGACUACGUGAAGCUGGAAUCGCUAGUAAUCGCGGAUCAGCAUGCCGCGGUGAAUA